This is a long non-coding RNA of Hyaena hyaena (striped hyena), 767 nucleotides long. RefSeq lists it as uncharacterized. NCBI's taxonomy places the organism in Eukaryota, Metazoa, Chordata, Mammalia, Carnivora, Hyaenidae. The transcript has 6 exons. The record is from RefSeq and is a predicted model, not a curated record.
AAUCCAGGCGAAGGGCGCACGCAGCCGCCUUCGAAGCGGAGAUCGCGCCCUUCCGCCUUGUCCCCGCGGGAUUUUGACCGCCACGACUCCUCCUGUUGAUUCCACGAAACACACAACUCCCUCCUUCCCUCCCUGGAGUGGCAAACCGGUUAGUGGGAGAGGAGCCCAGGAUGGUAAGCUGGAGCCAGCGUGCCAUCUCCCAAGAGCCCCAGCCGGGUCGUAUGGACAGUGCCUAAGGGCUUUGGUGUAGACCAAUUCAACUACAGGCUUCUCCCUUAGGUCUAGUUUCUGGUCCAAGACACCGCCUCUGCCUUUUGCAAUAUUGCUAUGAUUGGCAGAAAGAAUGAUCUCAUCUCUCUGGCUCAAGUUAUCAGCUUGCCCAAUCUCUGGAGCCUUCUAUGACUCAGAUGGGUAUUCCAGGAGAGAUUCAUGCAUCCACCAAAGAAAUGCCUGAUAUAUACCAGGACAGAGGAACCAUCUAGCAAGCCUUUUAUCUGGCUUCAUAAGAAACACGUGUGUUGUAAUGCUGAGUCCCCCUCAGACUACACCCACACAGCUAUAAAGACACAUCUACCUACAUGUGAAAGAAGGUGAGCCUGAGAAUGAGGACCAACUUCUCCUAAAAUGUGAACUCACUCCCUGUCUUACUCAUAAGUGGCAAUAAUGUAUACUUCAUGAGAACAGAUUUCAUGCCUGGCUGAUUCACUGUUGUAUCCCUAACCAUCCAGCACACUGUCUGGUCCUCAAUAAAUGACUGAAUACAUGGA